GUUCCUGUAGCGCAAAGAAUAGCGCGUUGGUCUUCAAAUCCAAAGCUGGAGGGUUCGAAUCCCACCUGGGACG
This is a non-coding RNA of Trichonephila clavipes, 73 nucleotides long. The record is from the annotation of a GenBank genome assembly. Lineage: Eukaryota; Metazoa; Arthropoda; Arachnida; Araneae; Nephilidae.